GUUCUUGCUUCGGUAGCACAUAUACUAAAAUUGGAAUGACACAGAUGCUUAGCAUGGCCCUUGUGCAAGGAUGACACUAUUAAAAAAAAAAAAAAGGUGUGGUUC
This is a small nuclear RNA of Saimiri boliviensis boliviensis (Bolivian squirrel monkey), 105 nucleotides long. The record is from Ensembl. NCBI's taxonomy places the organism in Eukaryota, Metazoa, Chordata, Mammalia, Primates, Cebidae.